Molecule: ribosomal RNA, 324 nt
Filed under: Subcoccinella vigintiquattuorpunctata (24-pointed ladybird beetle)
Lineage: Eukaryota; Metazoa; Arthropoda; Insecta; Coleoptera; Coccinellidae
Description: Subcoccinella vigintiquatuorpunctata (24-pointed ladybird beetle) partial 16S ribosomal RNA
Source: RNAcentral
UAUAAUUUAAAGUAAGGCCUGCCCACUGAAGUUUUGAAGGGCCGCAGUAUUUUGACUGUGCAAAGGUAGCAUAAUCAUUAGUUUUUUAAUUGAAAGCUAGAAUGAAAGGUUAAAUGAAAAAAAGACUGUCUUAAUUUUAAUUUUUAUGAAAUUUAUUUUUAAGUUAAAAAGCUUAAAUAAAGUUUAAAGACGAGAAGACCCUAUAGAGUUUAAUUUUAAUAAUUAAUAAGUUUUUAGAAUUAAAUAUUUUUUGAAAUUUUAAAAUUUAAUUGGGGUGAUUGAAAAAUUGAAUUAACUUUUUUUUGUUUAUUACAUAAAUUUAUG